GCUUUGUAAGCAAAAGUAACGCAAUUAGUCUUGUAAGCUAAAGAAAAAGGUUAAAUUCCUUAACAAAGUU
Molecule: transfer RNA, 70 nt
Filed under: Ptilometra sp. DH-R
Lineage: Eukaryota; Metazoa; Echinodermata; Crinoidea; Comatulida; Ptilometridae
Description: tRNA-Thr
Rfam family: tRNA
About the family: Transfer RNA (tRNA) molecules are approximately 80 nucleotides in length. Their secondary structure includes four short double-helical elements and three loops (D, anti-codon, and T loops).
Source: RNAcentral